GACUCCUCUUCUUCCACACCCAACUAACUACUCUUUCUUUUUAUUACUUCAUCCAAUCAACAUUAAUCAUUUACUUCCUUUGUCCCCAUUCCCCAAUUUUCUUUUCCUCUUUUGCCUCUUGGUUGUCCCCACUGAAAAUGGUCUCUCCCAUCAAAUAGUCCGAUCCUGGUUUUCCUGUCAUGAAAAUGGUGUUGUUGACUACUUCAAACAGUGUUCCAUUAAAGGAGUAGGCUUUUUGAAAACCAAGACCUGCUUUCUUCAGUUCAACCGCAAGAAACCAGUCCUUGAAGCUGACUUCUUUCCAAUUAAAUAACGUGAUAUGGGGCACAAAGGAAGUAAAGGGACCUGAGUCUGCCACAGUGCCACUGAUUUGCAACUCUUUUCACCAAUUUUGGGAGACCAUUAAAAUCAGGCAUGUUGAUUAGCCUCCCCCUCCAAGGUUCCCUCAAUGCUAUAGCCACGUGCAUCUACUGCCACUCCAUUGAUCUUGGAAAGUCCAGUAUUUGUCUCUGCGAGUAAUGAAGGAGGAAAUGAAGCUAUUACAAUGUCAAUAGGCAAUUCUUCUCCUCUUGGGCUCUAUUGCCUGGCAUUCACGUACCAAACAACUGCAAGAAUGACUAUGGGUAUCAUCUUUAGAGCAUCCAUUCUCAUGGGAUUGCUUUGCUAUGGUUUGCUUUCUAGUCCAGCAAUUGCCAUGUCCAAUGUAACAAAUGAGACAUGGCUGAUAUACCAGGGUCGAUGCACAACAAUUCCAGAGUGUAUUGCAAUUUGUAAGUAAGAAAAAUACGCUGAUGGAGGCGUUUGCAAAAAGCCUUCUAGUGAUUCACCCUACGUUAAUUGCUAUUGCAUAGCCUAUUGAAUUAUAAGAAGCCUUGGAAUUGUGUGAUCUUUGCGUGAUGAUUCUGAGUUAUUAUGGAAUGAAUAAUUAUUUUGAUGA
Coffea arabica (coffee) is the source of this 937-nucleotide non-coding RNA. NCBI's taxonomy places the organism in Eukaryota, Viridiplantae, Streptophyta, Magnoliopsida, Gentianales, Rubiaceae. The record is from RefSeq and is a predicted model, not a curated record.